This 459-nucleotide ribosomal RNA is filed under the name uncultured Anaerolineaceae bacterium. RNAcentral describes it as "bacterial SSU rRNA". It matches the Rfam family "Bacterial small subunit ribosomal RNA", at positions 906 to 1382 of the family's 1533-position model. The record is from RNAcentral. Lineage: Bacteria; Bacillati; Chloroflexota; Anaerolineae; Anaerolineales; Anaerolineaceae.
GGAAUUGACGGGGCCCGCGACAAGCGGUGGAGCAUGUGGUUUAAUUCGAUGCUACACGAAGAACCUUACCAGGGUUUGACAUGCAAGUGGUAGGAAACUGAAAGGACCGACCUUCGGGAGCUUGCACAGGUGCUGCAUGGCUGUCGUCAGCUCGUGUCGUGAGAUGUUCGGUUAAGUCCGCUAACGAGCGCAACCCUCACUGUGUGUUAUAUGUGUCACACGGGACUGCCGGUUUUAAGCCGGAGGAAGGUGGGAUGACGUCAAGUCAGCAUGGCCUUUAUAUCCUGGGCUACACACACGCUACAAUGGUCGGUACAAUAGGUUGCCAAGCCGCGAGGCGGAGCCAAUCCAAAAAAGCCGGCCUCAGUUCAGAUUGUAGGCUGCAACUCGCCUGCAUGAAGAUGGAGUUGCUAGUAACCGCAGGUCAGCAAUACUGCGGUGAAUACGUUCCCGGGUCUU